RNAcentral lists this ribosomal RNA (423 nucleotides) under uncultured bacterium. Its description in RNAcentral is "bacterial SSU rRNA". It matches the Rfam family "Bacterial small subunit ribosomal RNA", at positions 355 to 774 of the family's 1533-position model. The record is from RNAcentral.
UAGGGAAUAUUGGACAAUGGGGGGAACCCUGAUCCAGCCAUGCCGCGUGGAGGAAGACUGCCCUCUGGGUUGUAAACUCCUUUUAUAUGGGAAGAACCGUCCUCAUUGUUGAGUGACCUGACGGUACCAUAGGAAUAAGCACCGGCUAACUCCGUGCCAGCAGCCGCGGUAAUACGGAGGGUGCAAGCGUUAUCCGGAUUCACUGGGUUUAAAGGGUGCGUAGGCGGAUAUGUAAGUCAGUGGUGAAAUCAACGGGCUCAACCUGUUAACUGCCAUUGAUACUGUGUAUCUUGAAUAUGAGAGAGGUAGGCGGAAUGUUGCAUGUAGCGGUGAAAUGCUUAGAUAUGCUACGGAACACCGAUUGCGAAGGCAGCUUACUAUUUCGUAAUUGACGCUGAGGCACGAAAGCGUGGGUAGCGAACA